This 979-nucleotide ribosomal RNA is filed under the name Enterococcus durans. Its description in RNAcentral is "bacterial SSU rRNA". It matches the Rfam family "Bacterial small subunit ribosomal RNA", at positions 35 to 982 of the family's 1533-position model. Lineage: Bacteria; Bacillati; Bacillota; Bacilli; Lactobacillales; Enterococcaceae. The record is from RNAcentral.
GUUGGAUGGCGGGUGCUAUACAUGCAAGUCGUACGCUUUUUCUUUCACCGGAGCUUGCUCCACCGAAAGAAAAGGAGUGGCGAACGGGUGAGUAACACGUGGGUAACCUGCCCAUCAGAAGGGGAUAACACUUGGAAACAGGUGCUAAUACCGUAUAACAAUCGAAACCGCAUGGUUUUGAUUUGAAAGGCGCUUUCGGGUGUCGCUGAUGGAUGGACCCGCGGUGCAUUAGCUAGUUGGUGAGGUAACGGCUCACCAAGGCCACGAUGCAUAGCCGACCUGAGAGGGUGAUCGGCCACAUUGGGACUGAGACACGGCCCAAACUCCUACGGGAGGCAGCAGUAGGGAAUCUUCGGCAAUGGACGAAAGUCUGACCGAGCAACGCCGCGUGAGUGAAGAAGGUUUUCGGAUCGUAAAACUCUGUUGUUAGAGAAGAACAAGGAUGAGAGUAACUGUUCAUCCCUUGACGGUAUCUAACCAGAAAGCCACGGCUAACUACGUGCCAGCAGCCGCGGUAAUACGUAGGUGGCAAGCGUUGUCCGGAUUUAUUGGGCGUAAAGCGAGCGCAGGCGGUUUCUUAAGUCUGAUGUGAAAGCCCCCGGCUCAACCGGGGAGGGUCAUUGGAAACUGGGAGACUUGAGUGCAGAAGAGGAGAGUGGAAUUCCAUGUGUAGCGGUGAAAUGCGUAGAUAUAUGGAGGAACACCAGUGGCGAAGGCGACUCUCUGGUCUGUAACUGACGCUGAGGCUCGAAAGCGUGGGGAGCAAACAGGAUUAGAUACCCUGGUAGUCCACGCCGUAAACGAUGAGUGCUAAGUGUUGGAGGGUUUCCGCCCUUCAGUGCUGCAGCUAACGCAUUAAGCACUCCGCCUGGGGAGUACGACCGCAAGGUUGAAACUCAAAGGAAUUGACGGGGGCCCGCACAAGCGGUGGAGCAUGUGGUUUAAUUCGAAGCAACGCGAAGAACCCUUACCAGGUCUU